Molecule: ribosomal RNA, 383 nt
Filed under: Arenicola marina (lugworm)
Lineage: Eukaryota; Metazoa; Annelida; Polychaeta; Arenicolidae
Description: SSU rRNA
Rfam family: Eukaryotic small subunit ribosomal RNA
Source: RNAcentral
AGCUCCCAAUAGGCGUAUAUUAAAGUUGUUGCAGUUAAAAAGCUCGUAGUUGGAUCUCGGGUUUAGGCGUGCGGUUCGCCUCGCGGCGAUCACUGCUCGACCUGACCUAGCCGCCGAUCCUCCCUUGGUGCUCUUGACUGAGUGUCUCGGGGCGUCGGAACGUUUACUUUGAAAAAAUUAGAGUGCUCAAAGCAGGCCAUUCGCCUGAAUACUGUUGCAUGGAAUAAUGGAAGAGGACCUCGGUUCUAUUGCGUUGGUUUUCGGAACUUGAGGUAAUGAUUAAGAGGGACGGACGGGGGCAUCCGUAUUACGGCGUUAGAGGUGAAAUUCUUGGAUCGCCGUAAGACGAACUACUGCGAAAGCAUUUGCCAAGAAUGUUUUCA